RNAcentral lists this ribosomal RNA (239 nucleotides) under Porphyromonas cangingivalis. Its description in RNAcentral is "16S rRNA. Bacterial SSU". It matches the Rfam family "Bacterial small subunit ribosomal RNA", at positions 1195 to 1433 of the family's 1533-position model. Lineage: Bacteria; Pseudomonadati; Bacteroidota; Bacteroidia; Bacteroidales; Porphyromonadaceae. The record is from RNAcentral.
ACGGCCCUUACAUCCGGGGCGACACACGUGUUACAAUGGUAGGGACAAAGGGCAGCUACCUGGCGACAGGAUGCGAAUCUCCAAACCCUAUCUCAGUUCGGAUCGGAGUCUGCAACUCGACUCCGUGAAGCUGGAUUCGCUAGUAAUCGCGCAUCAGCCAUGGCGCGGUGAAUACGUUCCCGGGCCUUGUACACACCGCCCGUCAAGCCAUGGAAGUCGGGGGUACCUGAAGUGCGUCA